RNAcentral lists this ribosomal RNA (508 nucleotides) under uncultured Entrophospora. RNAcentral's name for it is "SSU rRNA". It matches the Rfam family "Eukaryotic small subunit ribosomal RNA", at positions 569 to 1073 of the family's 1831-position model. The record is from RNAcentral. Lineage: Eukaryota; Fungi; Glomeromycota; Glomeromycetes; Entrophosporales; Entrophosporaceae.
AGCAGCCGCGGUAAUUCCAGCUCCAAUAGCGUAUAUUAAAGUUGUUGCAGUUAAAAAGCUCGUAGUUGAAUUUCGGGAUUGACGUGACGGUCGUGCCUUAAGGGGUAUGAACUGUCGCCGUUGAUUUCUCACCUUCUGGAGAAGCUCGAUGUCCUUAAUUGGAUGUCUUGUGGAACCAGGACCUUUACCUUGAAAAAAAUUAGAGUGUUUAAAGCAGGCAUUUUGCUCGAAUACAUUAGCAUGGAAUAAUAGAAUAGGACGGCAUGGUUCUAUUUUGUUGGUUUCUAGGAUCACCGUAAUGAUUAAUAGGGAUAGUUGGGGGCAUUAGUAUUCAAUUGUCAGAGGUGAAAUUCUUGGAUUUAUUGAAGACUAAACUACUGCGAAAGCAUUUGCCAAGGAUGUUUUCAUUAAUCAAGAACGAAAGUUAGGGGAUCGAAGACGAUCAGAUACCGUCGUAGUCUUAACCAUAAACUAUGCCGACUAGGAAUCAGACGAUGUUAAUUUUUAA